Molecule: ribosomal RNA, 454 nt
Filed under: uncultured bacterium
Lineage: Bacteria
Description: bacterial SSU rRNA
Rfam family: Bacterial small subunit ribosomal RNA
Source: RNAcentral
UACGGGAGGCAGCAGGGGGAAUAUUGCACAAUGGGCGAAAGCCUGAUGCAGCUAUGCCGCGUGUAUGAAGAAGGCCUUAGGGUUGUAAAGUACUUUCAUCGGGGAGGAAAAACAAAACUAAUAAUUUUAUUUCUUGACGUUACCCGAAAAAGAAGCACCGGCUAACUCCGUGCCAGCAGCCGCGGUAAUACGGAGGGUGCUAGCGUUAAUCAGAAUUACUGGGCGUAAAGAGCACGUAGGUGGUUUUUUUAAAGUCAGAUGUGAAAUCCCUGGGCUUAACCUGGAACUGCAUUUUGAAACUGAAAUACUAGAGUAUCGUAGAGGGAGGUAGAAUUCUAGGUGUAGCGGUGAAAUGCGUAGAUAUCUGGAGGAAUACCUGUGGCGAAAGCGGCCUCCUAAACGAAUACUGACACUGAGGUGCGAAAGCGUGGGGAGCAAACAGGGAUUAGAUACC